UCAUCAGAGGAUCUUGUGCAAACGCAGGCUCUAAUUCAGCUGGCCUGAGAGUCUGCAUUUCUAACAAGUUCCCAGAUG
Molecule: microRNA precursor, 78 nt
Organism: Mustela putorius furo (domestic ferret)
Lineage: Eukaryota; Metazoa; Chordata; Mammalia; Carnivora; Mustelidae
Source: Ensembl